RNAcentral lists this microRNA precursor (155 nucleotides) under Amborella trichopoda. RNAcentral describes it as "MIR8565 microRNA precursor family". It matches the Rfam family "MIR8565 microRNA precursor family". Lineage: Eukaryota; Viridiplantae; Streptophyta; Magnoliopsida; Amborellales; Amborellaceae. The record is from Rfam by way of RNAcentral.
CCCCCACCAAUGUGUAUAGGAUCCCAAAGGAUCACUAUUAAAUUUGGCGUGGAUCUCUAGAAAAAUUGUCACAUGAGUGUGGGACUUGACUUUUUUUAGAGAUCCAUGCUAAAUUUAAUGGUGAUCCUUUGGGGUCCUACACAUAUGGGUGGGGG